RNAcentral lists this ribosomal RNA (342 nucleotides) under uncultured Sebacinales. RNAcentral's name for it is "eukaryotic LSU rRNA". It matches the Rfam family "Eukaryotic large subunit ribosomal RNA", at positions 81 to 418 of the family's 3401-position model. Lineage: Eukaryota; Fungi; Basidiomycota; Agaricomycetes; Sebacinales. The record is from RNAcentral.
UAGUAACGGCGAGUGAAGAGGGAUGAGCUCAAAUUUUGAAUCUGGUGUCUUCGAUGCCCGAGUUGUAAACUAGAGAAGUGUUUUCCGUGUUGGACCGUGCACAAGUUCCCUGGAACGGGGCGUCAUAGAGGGUGAGAAUCCCGUAUAUGGCACGGACUCCCUUCACAUUGUGAUACACUCUCGACGAGUCGAGUUGUUUGGGAAUGCAGCUCAAAAUGGGUGGUAAAUUCCAUCUAAAGCUAAAUAUUGGCGAGAGACCGAUAGCGAACAAGUACCGUGAGGGAAAGAUGAAAAGCACUUUGGAAAGAGAGUGAAACAGUACGUGAAAUUGUUGAAAGGGAA